AUAAUCGUAGCUUAGAUGGUAAAGCCGCGCUGCAGCACGUGUACGUACGCGACGGUGGUUCAAAUCCACCCGAUUGUCUA
This 80-nucleotide transfer RNA is filed under the name Caudoviricetes sp. Its description in RNAcentral is "tRNA-OTHER". It matches the Rfam family "tRNA". Rfam says of the family: Transfer RNA (tRNA) molecules are approximately 80 nucleotides in length. The record is from RNAcentral. Lineage: Duplodnaviria; Heunggongvirae; Uroviricota; Caudoviricetes.